CCUACGGGUGGCAGCAGUGGGGGAUAUUGCACAAUGGGGGAAACCCUGAUGCAGCGACGCCGCGUGGGUGAAGAAGCGCCUCGGCGCGUAAAGCCCUGUCAGCAGGGAAGAAAAUGACGGUACCUGAAGAAGAAGCCCCGGCUAACUACGUGCCAGCAGCCGCGGUAAUACGUAGGGGGCAAGCGUUAUCCGGAUUUACUGGGUGUAAAGGGGGCGCAGACGGCGAUGCAAGCCAGGAGUGAAAGCCCGGGGCCCAACCCCGGGACUGCUCUUGGAACUGCGUGGCUAGAGUGCAGGAGGGGCAGGCGGAAUUCCUGGUGUAGCGGUGAAAUGCGUAGAUAUUAGGAGGAACACCAGUGGCGAAGGCGGCCUGCUGGGCUUUUACUGACGCUGAGGCUCGAAAGUGUGGGGAGCAAACAGGAUUAGAUACCCUGGUAGUC
RNAcentral lists this ribosomal RNA (440 nucleotides) under uncultured bacterium. Its description in RNAcentral is "partial 16S ribosomal RNA". It matches the Rfam family "Bacterial small subunit ribosomal RNA", at positions 338 to 795 of the family's 1533-position model. The record is from RNAcentral.